GCUCGGUUAGCUCAGUUGGUCAGAGCGUCGUACUAAUAUUGCCAGCUCACAUCGUGAGUACAAUACCAUGUAAUGCGAAGGCCGAGAGUUCAAGCCUCUCACUGAGCA
Molecule: transfer RNA, 108 nt
Organism: Microdochium bolleyi
Lineage: Eukaryota; Fungi; Ascomycota; Sordariomycetes; Xylariales; Microdochiaceae
Rfam family: tRNA
About the family: Transfer RNA (tRNA) molecules are approximately 80 nucleotides in length. Their secondary structure includes four short double-helical elements and three loops (D, anti-codon, and T loops).
Source: Rfam